GAGGAAAAUCCGUCGACUUUCAAAAUCGUGAGCAAAAG
Molecule: transfer RNA, 38 nt
Filed under: Nelia pillansii
Lineage: Eukaryota; Viridiplantae; Streptophyta; Magnoliopsida; Caryophyllales; Aizoaceae
Description: partial transfer RNA-Leu
Source: RNAcentral